GACGAACGCUGGCGGCGUGCUUAACACAUGCAAGUCGAACGGAAAGGCCCUGCUUUUGUGGGGUGCUCGAGUGGCGAACGGGUGGGUAACACGUGAGUAACCUGCCCUUGACUUUGGGAUAACUUCAGGAAACUGGGGCUAAUACCGGAUAGGAGCUCCUGCUGCAUGGUGGGGGUUGGAAAGUUUCGGCGGUUGGGGAUGGACUCGCGGCUUAUCAGCUUGUUGGUGGGGUAGUGGCUUACCAAGGCUUUGACGGGUAGCCGGCCUGAGAGGGGGACCGGCCACAUUGGGACUGAGAUACGGCCCAGACUCCUACGGGAGGCAACGGUGGGGAGUAGUGCACAAUGGGAGGAAGCCUGAUGCGGCAACGCCGCGUGCGGGAUGACAGCCUUCGGGUUGUAAACCGCUUUCGCCUGUGACGAAGCGUGAGUGACGGUAAUGGGUAAAGAAGCACCGGCUAACUACGUG
This 468-nucleotide ribosomal RNA is filed under the name uncultured bacterium. Its description in RNAcentral is "partial 16S ribosomal RNA". It matches the Rfam family "Bacterial small subunit ribosomal RNA", at positions 28 to 507 of the family's 1533-position model. The record is from RNAcentral.